This 555-nucleotide ribosomal RNA is filed under the name Staphylococcus aureus. RNAcentral's name for it is "partial 23S ribosomal RNA". It matches the Rfam family "Bacterial large subunit ribosomal RNA", at positions 1316 to 1866 of the family's 2925-position model. The record is from RNAcentral. Lineage: Bacteria; Bacillati; Bacillota; Bacilli; Caryophanales; Staphylococcaceae.
GACGGGUGAGAAUCCCGUCCACCGAUUGACUAAGGUUUCCAGAGGAAGGCUCGUCCGCUCUGGGUUAGUCGGGUCCUAAGCUGAGGCCGACAGGCGUAGGCGAUGGAUAACAGGUUGAUAUUCCUGUACCACCUAUAAUCGUUUUAAUCGAUGGGGGGACGCAGUAGGAUAGGCGAAGCGUGCGAUUGGAUUGCACGUCUAAGCAGUAAGGCUGAGUAUUAGGCAAAUCCGGUACUCGUUAAGGCUGAGCUGUGAUGGGGAGAAGACAUUGUGUCUUCGAGUCGUUGAUUUCACACUGCCGAGAAAAGCCUCUAGAUAGAAAAUAGGUGCCCGUACCGCAAACCGACACAGGUAGUCAAGAUGAGAAUUCUAAGGUGAGCGAGCGAACUCUCGUUAAGGAACUCGGCAAAAUGACCCCGUAACUUCGGGAGAAGGGGUGCUCUUUAGGGUUAACGCCCAGAAGAGCCGCAGUGAAUAGGCCCAAGCGACUGUUUAUCAAAAACACAGGUCUCUGCUAAACCGUAAGGUGAUGUAUAGGGGCUGACGCCUGCCCGG